CAGGGAUAAGCUCAACAUGGAAAUUUUGGCUCCUGGCCACGAAUUGUAAUCUCUCGACGCGCUGCCAGCAGGGGCGUAGAUGUAAGCCGCUUGGAAAAGCGAAUCACUGAGGGUGAGAAUCCUGUUCGUCAUCUGCAGACCUCUGUGUACGGCACACGUUCUAAGAGUCACGUUCCUUGGGAUUGGAGCGCAAAUUGGGUGGUAAAUUUCAUCUAAAGCUAAAUAUGGGUUCGAGACCGAUAGCAAACAAGUACCAUGAGGGAAAGAUGAAAAGGACUUUGAAAAGAGAGUUAAAAGUGCCUGAACUUGCUGAAAGGAAAGCGGAUGGAACCAGUUUUGCUUGGUGAGAUUGUCGCACGCAGCAAUGAUCACCUUCUAUUCCAGCGAAAGCGGGGCGGUGGGCUGUGAUUUGUUCGGUGUGAUGUUUCUUGCCUUGUGUGUCAUCAUCAGUUUGGAGGUGGGGACAACUCUUGGGACCUGGUAGCUCGCCCCUGGGUGAGUGAAUGUGCCUUGCGGGACCCACCAACAAACAGUUCAACCUUUGUGGGGCUGCGUUGCUUCGUGUUGCGUGCUCUGGCGAGCUUCACACGCGUGGCACCUUCCUUACAAGCUAAUGGUGACGAAAUGGUUCUAUUCGACCCGUCUUGAAC
Molecule: ribosomal RNA, 650 nt
Filed under: Gymnodinium catenatum
Lineage: Eukaryota; Dinophyceae; Gymnodiniales; Gymnodiniaceae
Description: partial large subunit ribosomal RNA
Rfam family: Eukaryotic large subunit ribosomal RNA
Source: RNAcentral